UACCAGCUCCCUGAGUGGUAAGGACGAUUAUUUGGCCUAAAGCGUCCGUAGCCGGCUUAUCAAGUCUUUUGUUAAACCCAAUGAUUCAAUCAUUGAUCUGCAAGAGAUACUGUUAUGCUAGAGGACGGGAGAGGUCGACGGUAGUCCAGGGGUAGGAGUGAAAUCCUAUAAUCCUUGGAGGACCACCAGUGGCGAAGGCGGUCGACUAGAACGUGCCUGACGGUGAGGGACGAAAGCUGGGGGAGCGAACCGGAUUAGAUACCCGGGUAGUCCCAGCUGUAAACGACGCGGGCUAGGUGUUGGGGUAGCUACGAGCUACUCCAGUGCCGCAGAGAAGUUGUUAAGCCCGCCGCCUGGGGGAGUACGGCCGCAAGGCUGAAACUUAAAGGAAUUGGCGGGGGAGCACCACAAGGGGUGAAGGCUGCGGUUU
RNAcentral lists this ribosomal RNA (430 nucleotides) under uncultured archaeon. Its description in RNAcentral is "bacterial SSU rRNA". It matches the Rfam family "Archaeal small subunit ribosomal RNA", at positions 474 to 903 of the family's 1478-position model. The record is from RNAcentral.